Molecule: long non-coding RNA, 1334 nt
Organism: Anolis carolinensis (green anole)
Lineage: Eukaryota; Metazoa; Chordata; Lepidosauria; Squamata; Anolidae
Exons: 2
Source: RefSeq, a predicted model, not a curated record
GUAUCUGGCUGAGGUCUGGGCGAUUUUUACGAUCUAACUUCUAGAUAAAACCCUAUCCAUUUGACAUCUUAAUGUCACAGCCACUUUUGGUAUACUUACUUACUUUUGCUAGGGGUAAAAUAUGUGUGUGCGUGUGUUUCUGUCUGUCUGUGUGCCUUUGUGUGUUCACGAGAAGGCGAGAAAAUGGGUUGUUUUGGGAAAUGACAACUCACACCCUCUCAAAACCCUUUCAGAAGUAACCCAAGAGUUCGGGGCACUAGGAAGAACUUUUUGGAAGAAAAAAUAAUAAUGGACUCACGUCGACCUGCUCAACACCCUGGAAGAAAAUGAUCCCAAUCGAACUGUUUGUGGUACUAAACUUCCUAAAAUGACCGGAUUCAUCUAGCCAAAAAACCCUCACGUAAGCUGUCUUUUUUUUCCUCCUGGAAUAGUAUAGAAUAAGCAUGAACAUUAAAAGAAUAUAUACAUAGAAUAUAUAUACCUAUAGAAAAAAUAUAUAGAAAAACGUAGAAUAUGGAAAAUGCAGCUACCUUCAGUUGAAUGCUGCAGGAAUUCACCUUAAACCCUAUAGCCAGGUGACAAAUAUUUCUCAAGACUCAUUUUAUGGUACACAUCCCUUCCUUCCUUCCUUCCUUCCUUCCUUCCUUCCUUCCUUCCUUCCUUCCUUCCUUCCUACCUACCUACCUACCUACCUACCUUUCCUCCCUCCUUAUUUAUGGAAAUAUACAUUCCUCCUUACUUAUGGAAAUAUUUACCAAUAUAUCCACUGCAGUCUCACACCGUCUAAUACUCCACCCAUUUAUUUUGCUAUCCCUUUAAACACAGGGAAAGAUGGGCUUUUAAGAAAAACAUAAGACAAAAAUAUAAAUGGAUUGCCUUACCUUUGGAAGCUCAUCCGUCUGCGAGUUAGAGGAGGAGGAAGAAGCGGAGGAGGAGAAGGAGGAGGGGGGCGAGUUGCGUUUGCUAUUAUGUGUAAGCUGACAAAUAUUGUCCCAACCUGAUAGCCGUCCAUUGCGACUAUUUCCCCCCCUUUUGCCGCGUCCUUUUGCACAGAAAAUGGAGUAACUUCCCUUUUAUGAAGAAUGACAAAAGCCUCCAUCCGGUGCAGAGCCUCUCUCAGUCUCAGAGAACCCAAAAUCAAAUAUGGAAAUUGAACCUACAGAAUUAAGAAACGGAAAGGGCGGGGAUUUCAGUAUAUUAGCAAUCUAAACCCUCUCCUAGAUCUAUCUCUGUGUGUGUGUGUGUGGGUAAGAGAGAGAGCUUGCUCUUCUUCUCCUCGUCUAUUUUUAGCCCUAUCCAGCUUAUACAUGAAACUAAAAAAAAAAAAAAGAUAA